RNAcentral lists this ribosomal RNA (424 nucleotides) under uncultured bacterium. RNAcentral describes it as "bacterial SSU rRNA". It matches the Rfam family "Bacterial small subunit ribosomal RNA", at positions 355 to 776 of the family's 1533-position model. The record is from RNAcentral.
UGAGGAAUAUUGGUCAAUGGACGGAAGUCUGAACCAGCCAAGUAGCGUGCAGGAAGACGGCCCUAUGGGUUGUAAACUGCUUUUAUACGGGGGUAAAGUGUGCCACGCGUGGCAUAUUGCAAGUACCGUAAGAAAAAGGAUCGGCUAGUUCCGUGCCAGCAGCCGCGGUAAUACGGAAGAUCCGAGCGUUAUCCGGAUUUAUUGGGUUUAAAGGGAGCGUAGGCGGAAGUUCAAGUCAGCUGUGAAAGUUUGUGGCUUAACCAUAGAAUUGCAGUUGAAACUGAAUUUCUUGAGUGUACAUAAGGAUGGUGGAAUUUGUGGUGUAGCGGUGAAAUGCAUAGAUAUCACGAAGAACUCCGAUUGCGAAGGCAGCCAUCCGGGGUACAACUGACGCUGAGGCUCGAAAGUGCGGGAAUCAAACAGG